UACGAAGGGGGCUAGCGUUGCUCGGAAUCACUGGGCGUAAAGCGCACGUAGGCGGCUUCUUAAGUCAGGGGUGAAAUCCUGGAGCUCAACUCCAGAACUGCCUUUGAUACUGAGGGGCUUGAGUCCGGGAGAGGGAUGCAGAAUUCCAGGUGUAGCGGUGAAAUGCGUAGAUAUCUGGAGGAAUACCGGUGGCGAAGGCGGCAUCCUGGACCGGCAUUGACGCUGAGGAGCGAAAGCUAGGGGAGCAAACGGG
This 253-nucleotide ribosomal RNA is filed under the name uncultured bacterium. RNAcentral's name for it is "partial 16S ribosomal RNA". It matches the Rfam family "Bacterial small subunit ribosomal RNA", at positions 524 to 776 of the family's 1533-position model. The record is from RNAcentral.